CUACGUGCCAGCAGCCGCGGUAAUACGUAGGUGGCAAGCGUUGUCCGGAAUGAUUGGGCGUAAAGGGCGCGCAGGCGGCUGUGUAAGUCUGUCCAGAAAGUGCGGGGCUAAACCCCGUGAGAGGAUGGAAACUGGACAGCUGAGAGUGUCGGAGAGGAAAGCGGAAUUCCUAGUGUAGCGGUGAAAUGCGUAGAGAUGUGGAGGAAUACCGAAGGCGAAGGCAGCCCCUUGGGAAUGUACUGACGCUCAUGUGCGAAAGCGUGGGGAGCAAACAGGAUUAGAUACCCUGGUAGUCCACGCUGUAAACGAUGUCGAUUUGGGGGUUGAGCUUUAAGUUUGGCGCCCGUAGCUAACGUGAUAAAUCGACCGCCUGGGGAGUACGGCCGCAAGGUUAAAACUCAAAUGAAUUGACGGGGGCCCGCACAAGCGGUGGAGCAUGUGGUUUAAUUCGAUGCAACGCGAAGAACCUUACCUACUCUUGACAUCCAGAGAACAUUC
This 498-nucleotide ribosomal RNA is filed under the name uncultured bacterium. RNAcentral's name for it is "bacterial SSU rRNA". It matches the Rfam family "Bacterial small subunit ribosomal RNA", at positions 501 to 1000 of the family's 1533-position model. The record is from RNAcentral.